CAGGGGCUAGUCUAAAUAAGACCGCCAAUUUCGACUUGGUAAAUCCUGAAUUAAUCCAGGGCCCUAA
RNAcentral lists this transfer RNA (67 nucleotides) under Bipes tridactylus. RNAcentral describes it as "tRNA-Arg". The record is from RNAcentral. Lineage: Eukaryota; Metazoa; Chordata; Lepidosauria; Squamata; Bipedidae.